AGGGUGUGAUAGAACAUUUCCUAAAGAGUUCUUUAAAUCUCUCCAAUGAUUCAUAAAUAGACUCAUCAUUUAACUCGAUAAACAAAGUGAUGUUAUUUUUAAGCUU
Dendrobium catenatum is the source of this 106-nucleotide small nucleolar RNA. Lineage: Eukaryota; Viridiplantae; Streptophyta; Magnoliopsida; Asparagales; Orchidaceae. The record is from RefSeq and is a predicted model, not a curated record.